This 219-nucleotide ribosomal RNA is filed under the name uncultured bacterium. RNAcentral's name for it is "partial 16S ribosomal RNA". It matches the Rfam family "Bacterial small subunit ribosomal RNA", at positions 112 to 334 of the family's 1533-position model. The record is from RNAcentral.
AAUACAUAGGAAUCUGCCCAGUAGUGGGGGAUAACGUGGAGAAAUCCACGCUAAUACCGCAUAUGUUCUACGGAACAAAGCAGGGGACCUUCGGGCCUUGCGCUAUUGGAUGAGCCUAUGUCGGAUUAGCUUGUUGGUGAGGUAAAAGCUCACCAAGGCGACGAUCCGUAGCUGGUCUGAGAGGAUGAUCAGCCACACUGGGACUGAGACACGGCCCAG